This 447-nucleotide ribosomal RNA is filed under the name uncultured bacterium. RNAcentral describes it as "bacterial SSU rRNA". It matches the Rfam family "Bacterial small subunit ribosomal RNA", at positions 354 to 796 of the family's 1533-position model. The record is from RNAcentral.
GUUAAGAAUCUUGCGCAAUGGGCGAAAGCCUGACGCAGCGACGCCGCGUGGACGAUGAAGGCCUUCGGGUUGUAAAGUCCAAUAAGCAGGGAAGAAUAAGUGGAGUAAAACAUGCUUCAUGAUGACGGUACCUGUCUAAAGCCUCGGCUAACUACGUGCCAGCAGCCGCGGUAACACGUAUGAGGCGAGCGUUGUUCGGAUUUAUUGGGCGUAAAGCGCGUGUAGGCGGGGAAUUAAGUUAGGUGUGAAAUCCACUGGCUCAACCAGUGAAUUGCACUUAAUACUGAUUCUCUUGAGUUCGGGAGAGGAGAGCGGAAUUCUCGGUGUAGCGGUGAAAUGCGUAGAUAUCGAGAAGAACACCAGUGGCGAAGGCGGCUCUCUGGCCUAGAACUGACGCUGAGACGCGAAAGCGUGGGGAGCAAACGGGAUUAGAUACCCUGGUAGUCC